UACGUAGGGUGCGAGCGUUGCUCGGAAUCACUGGGCGUAAAGGGUGCGUAGGCGGGUUUUUAAGUCGGGGGUGAAAUCCUGGAGCUCAACUCCAGAACUGCCUUUGAUACUGAAGAUCUUGAGUCUGGGAGAGGUGAGUGGAACUGCGAGUGUAGAGGUGAAAUUCGUAGAUAUUCGCAAGAACACCAGUGGCGAAGGCGGCUCACUGGCCCGAUACUGACGCUGAGGCACGAAAGCGUGGGGAGCAAACAGG
Molecule: ribosomal RNA, 253 nt
Filed under: uncultured bacterium
Lineage: Bacteria
Description: partial 16S ribosomal RNA
Rfam family: Bacterial small subunit ribosomal RNA
Source: RNAcentral